GAAAAGUUUCACUGAUAUUUUUGCUAUAUCCGAAAAGCUAAAUACAUUUCCGAAACAUAAAAACGUAAUUGAUGGUAAUUUUUGGGUCAAUGCCCUACCAUAUAUAUAUCUCAACGUCAAGCUUUGUUUGAUACGUACGUGUACAUAUGAACAGUUCCACAAUAUUCAAAAAUAUUCACAAGGCGCGAACCAUGUUCACUGAUAAUUACUAAACGAAUGAUAUUUUUGACGAGAAUCAUGUGACACUUUCAAAACAGGUGUACCUGAUCUUUUCCUUCAUCAUUUAUUAUCUCAUAACACACACACAAUAAUACCAAUUCUUC
This 323-nucleotide long non-coding RNA is filed under the name Capsella rubella. RNAcentral's name for it is "long non-coding RNA (CRUB_LNC000499)". The record is from RNAcentral. Lineage: Eukaryota; Viridiplantae; Streptophyta; Magnoliopsida; Brassicales; Brassicaceae.